Non-coding RNA from Pelobates cultripes (western spadefoot toad), 212 nucleotides. The record is from the annotation of a GenBank genome assembly. NCBI's taxonomy places the organism in Eukaryota, Metazoa, Chordata, Amphibia, Anura, Pelobatidae.
CUCAGACUAUUAAUCCUAUAAAUAUAUCUAAGGACCUGAAAACAUCAAACUACAGAUCGGAUACUGACAAUACAGAUAUACCAAUAACGGCACAAGACUUACACGACAUAUGAAACAUUAUAUAGCUCAUCGGUAGGCCUCAAUUUGCCGCUGUGUCAGGGACACUUCCCUUCCACACCUAGGUAUUCCAGUCAAACCGAUAAAAUGUACUG